UAAACGACUCUCGGCAACGGAUAUCUCGGCUCUCGCAUCGAUGAAGAACGUAGCGAAAUGCGAUACUUGGUGUGAAUWGCAGAAUCCCGUGAACCAUCGAGUCUUUGAACGCAAGUUGCGCCCGAAGCCUUCUGGCCGAGGGCACGCCUGCCUNGGCGUCACGCA
Molecule: ribosomal RNA, 165 nt
Filed under: Veronica melanocaulon
Lineage: Eukaryota; Viridiplantae; Streptophyta; Magnoliopsida; Lamiales; Plantaginaceae
Description: 5.8S ribosomal RNA
Rfam family: 5.8S ribosomal RNA
About the family: 5.8S ribosomal RNA (5.8S rRNA) is a component of the large subunit of the eukaryotic ribosome. It is transcribed by RNA polymerase I as part of the 45S precursor that also contains 18S and 28S rRNA.
Source: RNAcentral